CGUAGUUGGAUUUCUGCCGAGGACGACCGGUCCGCCCACUGGGUGUGCAUCUGGCUCGGCCUGGGCAUCUUCUUGGAGAACGUAUCUGCACUUCACUGUGUGGUGCGGUAUCCAGGACUUUUACUUUGAGGAAAUUAGAGUGUUUCAAGCAGGCACACGCCUUGAAUACGUUAGCAUGGAAUAAUAAGAUAGGACCUUGGUUCUAUUUUGUUGGUUUCUAGAACUGAGGUAAUGA
RNAcentral lists this ribosomal RNA (235 nucleotides) under uncultured eukaryote. Its description in RNAcentral is "partial 18S ribosomal RNA". It matches the Rfam family "Eukaryotic small subunit ribosomal RNA", at positions 629 to 868 of the family's 1831-position model. The record is from RNAcentral.